RNAcentral lists this ribosomal RNA (491 nucleotides) under uncultured bacterium. RNAcentral describes it as "partial 16S ribosomal RNA". It matches the Rfam family "Bacterial small subunit ribosomal RNA", at positions 29 to 506 of the family's 1533-position model. The record is from RNAcentral.
AGUGAACGCUGGCGGUAGGCCUAACACAUGCGAGUCGAACGGCAGCACAGUAAGAGCUUGCUCUUACGGGUGGCGAGUGGCGGACGGGUGAGGAAUACAUCGGAAUCUACUUUUUCGUGGGGGAUAACGUAGGGAAACUUACGCUAAUACCGCAUACGACCUACGGGUGAAAGCAGGGGAUCUUCGGACCUUGCGCGAUUGAAUGAGCCGAUGUCGGAUUAGCUAGUUGGCGGGGUAAAGGCCCACCAAGGCGACGAUCCGUAGCUGGUCUGAGAGGAUGAUCAGCCACACUGGAACUGAGACACGGUCCAGACUCCUACGGGAGGCAGCAGUGGGGAAUAUUGGACAAUGGGCGCAAGCCUGAUCCAGCCAUACCGCGUGGGUGAAGAAGGCCUGCGGGUUGUAAAGCCCUUUUGUUGGGAAAGAAAAGCAGCAGGUUAAUACCCCGCUGUUCGGACGGUACCCAAAGAAUAAGCACCGGCUAACUUCGU